UAAGGAAUCUUCGGCAAUGGACGGAAGUCUGACCGAGCAACGCCGCGUGAGUGAAGAAGGUUUUCGGAUCGUAAAACUCUGUUGGUAGAGAAGAACGUUGGUGAGAGUGGAAAGCUCAUCAAGUGACGGUAACUACCCAGAAAGGGACGGCUAACUACGUGCCAGCAGCCGCGGUAAUACGUAGGUGCCAGCAGCCGCGGUAAUACGUAGGUG
Molecule: ribosomal RNA, 213 nt
Filed under: uncultured Lactococcus sp.
Lineage: Bacteria; Bacillati; Bacillota; Bacilli; Lactobacillales; Streptococcaceae
Description: partial 16S ribosomal RNA
Rfam family: Bacterial small subunit ribosomal RNA (bases 1-191)
Source: RNAcentral